UACGUAGGCAGCGAGCGUUGUUCGGAGUUACUGGGCGUAAAGAGUGCGUAGGCGGUGUUCCAAGUCUGUUGUGAAAUCUCCCGGCUCAACUGGGAGGGUGCGGCGGAAACUGGGACGCUGGAGUACGGGAGAGGUAAGCGGAAUUCCUGGUGUAGCGGUGAAAUGCGUAGAUAUCAGGAGGAACACCGGUGGCGAAGGCGGGUCUCUGGGCCGAUACUGACGCUGAGGAGCGAAAGCGUGGGGAGCGAACAGG
RNAcentral lists this ribosomal RNA (253 nucleotides) under uncultured bacterium. RNAcentral's name for it is "partial 16S ribosomal RNA". It matches the Rfam family "Bacterial small subunit ribosomal RNA", at positions 524 to 776 of the family's 1533-position model. The record is from RNAcentral.